UGGGGAAUUUUGCGCAAUGGACGAAAGUCUGACGCAGCGACGCCGCGUGCAGGACGAAGGCCCUCGGGUUGUAAACUGCUGUCACGCUCUAGGAAUCCCGUGUUGUGAAUAGCAGCACGGUUGACUAAGGCGAGAGGAAGUGGCGGCUAACUCUGUGCCAGCAGCCGCGGUAAGACAGAGGCCACGAACGUUGUUCGGAAUCACUGGGCAUAAAGCGCACGUAGGCGGCUAGGUCCGUCCGAUGUGAAAGCCCCCGGCUCAACCGGGGAAUAGCAUCGGAUACAGCCUGGCUUGAGGACGGUUGGGGUGAGUGGAACUCCUGGUGGAGCGGUGAAAUGCGUAGAUAUAGGAAGGAACACCAGUGGCGAAGGCGACCACCUGGACUGAUACUGACACUGAGGUGCGAAAGCGUGGGGAGCAAACAGGAUUAGAUACCCCCGUAGUCCCUGAGCGGGCUGGCAAGGCGCAU
Molecule: ribosomal RNA, 469 nt
Filed under: uncultured bacterium
Lineage: Bacteria
Description: bacterial SSU rRNA
Rfam family: Bacterial small subunit ribosomal RNA
Source: RNAcentral